GACGAACGCUGGCGGCAUGCCUAACACAUGCAAGUCGAACGGAGAUUAUUUCGUUAAUCUUAGUGGCGAACGGGUGAGUAACGCGUGGGCAACCUGCCCUCUAGAUGGGGACAACAUCCCGAAAGGGGUGCUAAUACCGAAUGUGACAGCAAUCUCGCAUGAGGAUGCUGUGAAAGAUGGUCUCUAUUUAUAAGCUAUCGCUAGAGGAUGUGCCUGCGCCUGAUUAGCUAGUUGGUGGGGUAACGGCCUACCAAGGCGAUGAUCAGUAGCCGGUCUGAGAGGAUGAACGGCCACAUUGGGACUGAGACACGGCCCAGACUCCUACGGGAGGCAGCAGUGGGGAAUCUUCCGCAAUGGGCGAGAGCCUGACGGAGCAAUGCCGCGUGAGUGAUGAAGGAAUUCGUUCCGUAAAGCUCUUUUGUUUAUGACGAAUGUGCAGAUUGUGAACAAUGAUCUGUAAUGACGGUAGUAAACGAAUAAGCCACGGCUAACUACGUG
RNAcentral lists this ribosomal RNA (498 nucleotides) under uncultured bacterium. Its description in RNAcentral is "partial 16S ribosomal RNA". It matches the Rfam family "Bacterial small subunit ribosomal RNA", at positions 28 to 507 of the family's 1533-position model. The record is from RNAcentral.